CGUCCCCCGCGCGCUCUGCCCAUUGGCUCCUGCCGCGCAGAUGGGCGGGGCGAGCGCCGCGGGACCCCGCCAGCGCCUCCCAAUGGCUAGGAAGUCGCUCGAGGGGUGGGGCCACAAACAGUGGCAGGCGGCCAUUGGGGAAGAUGGCCGUCCGUCAGGGCUCGAGGCGGAAACGGCCCGUGGAGUCGGGGGAGGGGCGAAGAGGUGAGGCCACGUGAUUGCGCCAGAGCCAGUGAGCGAGCUGCCCUCCUGCGUGGGGCUUUGCUGGAGAAGCCAUCUUAGGAGUGGAGCAGCGAAGCCCGACCACGGUUUCCUCGCCUGACUGCAGGAAUGGGAAAAUUGAAGCCCGGGGGGGGCACGGCGGACGCCGCCCUGCCUGCCUGCAAUGGAAGGAAAAUGAGGCCGGGGGCGCACGGACAACACCGCCGUGCCUGCCUGCAAUGGGGGGGAACUGAGGCUCGGGGCGCACAGAGCAGACUCCGCCGUCAAAGGACGUUCAGGACUGGACGGGCCUCCAUCCCACCAGCAGAACACUCCAAACUUAUGUCGGAGAAUGCUGAUUCCAAAAAGAGUUGAACAGGGUUGUGGGUGAUAGGGGAACCCCGGGAAAGGUGCCGGAAAACAGGGCCAGCUGGGUGGGGCGAGUGGGGGGAGGGGCAGGCGGAGUCAGGGCGGCCGCGGCAGUCCGGUACCCCAGGCUUUUGGAAGCAUCCAGGAGAUGAUGGGCAUGCCGGGCUUGCUUGUUCCCAGCGUGGAGCAGACGUUCAAUAAAUAGAAGAAAUUAUCCUGAAUAUUGUUUGCUAUACGUCUCGUGCAGAAAAAAGGAUUUUUAAUUGGCACAAGCCUAAAGAGGGAGAAUGACACUUGUUGUUUCCGUAAGUCGAGGUCAGGCCUUUGCUCCCGCCUCUCCGGUCGGUUUUAGCUUGGGCGGAGUCAUGGCAACAGCGUCCAUUUUAGGGCCGCGCGGGCCUGGACGGAGCCCAGAGACCGGGGCUGCCGAGCCAGAGGGCUUUCUCGGAUUAGGGGCGGCUGCCGAUUUUCACGGAGGCCUCCGCCUUGCACUCCUUGGCCCCUUCUUUCGCCGAAGGCCAUCUGAAGCCCAGGAAUGGCUAAUCAGGAGUGUCCCGGUGGAUUUAGGAGAAUCCCCAACGCAUUCCUGUGGAUUUGCUCCCUCCAGGACUCCUGUCGCGCUCCGCUCUGGGUACCACCAGGGGCAGUUGCUCAUCUUUGUUGCCUAGGUUACUGGUGCCAGGGAUGGGCCCUCUUGACAGCAGGGAGGAUGGUUGGAGACAUGGGAGUGUCGCAGCCCAGAGGGAGAAUGUUGGUGGACCCUCCACCAGGUUCCUAGCACGGAUCUAAAUGGUCGCAAUCUAUUAAAAGCCAUUUCUGCUCACUGCC
Long non-coding RNA from Aethalodelphis obliquidens (Pacific white-sided dolphin), 1398 nucleotides. RefSeq lists it as uncharacterized. The transcript is spliced from 2 exons. The record is from RefSeq and is a predicted model, not a curated record. NCBI's taxonomy places the organism in Eukaryota, Metazoa, Chordata, Mammalia, Artiodactyla, Delphinidae.